CACAGUAACAUCUCCAGUUCUAAUGCAUUACCACAUGGAUUUUUCUAGCCUCUUCCUUUUGCUCAUCUAUACACUUCAACAGUGAGAAGGCUGACUCUGAUCAUCUGCCAUUCAUUUCCUUAAUUGUUCAAUUCCAGCAUACAUGUAUAGUA
Long non-coding RNA from Phyllostomus discolor (pale spear-nosed bat), 152 nucleotides. RefSeq lists it as uncharacterized. The transcript is spliced from 3 exons. NCBI's taxonomy places the organism in Eukaryota, Metazoa, Chordata, Mammalia, Chiroptera, Phyllostomidae. The record is from RefSeq and is a predicted model, not a curated record.